GGGACAGCCUCGGGAAACCGUGGGUAAUACCGGAUACUCCGGGACGGCCGCAUGGCCGGCCCGGGAAAGCCCAGACGGGAGGGGAUGGGCCCGCGGCCUGUUAGCUAGUCGGCGGGGUAACGGCCCACCGAGGCGAUUAUGGGUAGCCGGGUUGAGAGACCGACCGGCCAGAUUGGGACUGAGACACGGCCCAGACUCCUACGGGAGGCAGCAGUGGGGAAUCUUGCGCAAUGGGCGGAAGCCUGACGCAGCGACGCCGCGUGCGGGACGAAGGCCUUCGGGUCGUAAACCGCUUUCAGCAGGGACGAGGCCCUCACGGUGACGGUACCUGCAGAAGAAGCCCCGGCUAACUACGUGCCAGCAGCCGCGGUAAUACGUAGGGGGCGAGCGUUAUCCGGAUUCAUUGGGCGUAAAGCGCGCGUAGGCGGCCUGUUAGGUCGGGGGUCAAAUACCGGGGCUCAACCCCGGUCCGCCCCCGAUACCGGCAGGCUUGAGUCUGGUAGGGGAAGGCGGAAUUCCCAGUGUAGCGGUGGAAUGCGCAGAUAUUGGGAAGAACACCGGCGGCGAAGGCGGCCUUCUGGGCCACGACUGACGCUGAGGCGCGAAAGCUAGGGGAGCGAACAGGAUUAGAUACCCUGGUAGUCCUAGCCGUAAACGAUGGAAGCUAGGUGUGGGGG
Molecule: ribosomal RNA, 677 nt
Filed under: uncultured bacterium
Lineage: Bacteria
Description: bacterial SSU rRNA
Rfam family: Bacterial small subunit ribosomal RNA
Source: RNAcentral